UACAGAGGUCCCAAGCGUUGUUCGGAUUUAUUGGGCGUAAAGGGUGCGUAGGCGGCGGAGUAAGUUGGGUGUGAAAUCCCGGGGCUCAACCUCGGAAUUGCAUUCAAUACUGCUUCGCUCGAGUACUGGAGAGGAGGCUGGAAUUUACGGUGUAGCAGUGAAAUACGUAGAUAUCGUAAGGAAGGCCGGUGGCGAAAGCGAGCCUCUGGAUAGUUACUGACGCUGAUGCACGAAGGCCAGGGGAGCAAACGGG
This 253-nucleotide ribosomal RNA is filed under the name uncultured bacterium. RNAcentral describes it as "partial 16S ribosomal RNA". It matches the Rfam family "Bacterial small subunit ribosomal RNA", at positions 524 to 776 of the family's 1533-position model. The record is from RNAcentral.